GCCAAAUUAGCUCAGUUGGUAGAGCUUUUGUUUUGUAAACAAAAGGCCGUCGGUUCGAUUCCGCCAUUUGGCU
Molecule: transfer RNA, 73 nt
Filed under: Diacronema lutheri
Lineage: Eukaryota; Haptophyta; Pavlovophyceae; Pavlovales; Pavlovaceae
Also listed under: 1 other name
Description: tRNA-Thr
Rfam family: tRNA
About the family: Transfer RNA (tRNA) molecules are approximately 80 nucleotides in length. Their secondary structure includes four short double-helical elements and three loops (D, anti-codon, and T loops).
Source: RNAcentral